AAGAAAUGGAAAGAAAAAAAUUGGAGGAAAUGAGUAAAAUAAGAAGACAAAGAGAACUAGAAGUAGAAGAAAGGUCACUAAGAAGAAAAAGAGACGAAUCGAGAGGUCGUGAUAGAUCAUAUAGAAAAUCAUCACGUGACCGUGACCGUGACCGUGACCGUGAACAUAGUAGUGAACACCAUGGAUGGAAAAGAAGCGAAAAAACUGGAGCAUAUCAUGAAGAAGAUAAUUACAAACGUUUAGAUUAUGAUGAUGAUACCCGAGAAGACUAUCAUUCAUCACAUAGGGAAAGGUUAGACAGAAGAGAAAGAGGAAGGGAUCAUUCACCACGAGAAGGAAGAACUGGUUCCAGAGAAAGAAGACAUAGAAGAGAUGGUUCUAAGGAUAGGGAUAGAGAACAUCGAAGAGGAGGUUCUAAGGAUAGGGAUAGAGAACAUAGAAGAGGAGGUUCGAAAGAUAGGGAUAGAGAACAUAGAAGAGAUGUAGAGCAUAGGAAAGAUAAAGACAGAGAGCAUAGAAGAGGAGGUUCUAAGGAUAGGGAUAGAGAGCACAGAAGAGGAGGAUCCAAAGACAGGGAUAGAGAGCACAGAAGAGGAACUUCAAAAGAUAGAGAACACAGAAGAGGAGGUUCUAAGGAUAGGGAUAGAGAGCAUAGAAGAGGAACUUCAAAAGAUAGAGAACACAGAAGAGGAGGUUCCAAAGACAGGGAUAGAGAACAUAGAAGAGGGGGAUCUAAAGACAGGGAUAGAGAACAUAGAAGAGAUGGUGAUCGAGAAAGAGAACGGGAUCGAGAUCGAGAUCGAACUAGUUACGAUAGUAAGCACAGAAAAAAACAUGAAUAUGAUCUAGAAGAUAAAAGUGAAAGAGACAUAAAACGAAGUGAAAGAGCAAGUAAAAAAGAACAAGAAAAAAUAUUAAAUAAUGGUAUUCAUGAUAAAACAAAAAAUAGAUGGAACUUGAAAGAAGUAGAAUACGAUAAUACAGAAGAGGAAGAUGACAAUGACAAUGCUAGUAAUAAUACUAAUACGGAUGAUGACCAUAAUAUAUAUAAGAGUAAAGGGAAAGACAAUUAUGUAAAUAAAGAAAGUGCUUAUGACAAAAAAUAUAAUCAUAUAAAAGAUGAAAACAGUGAAACAAUCAAAAAUAAAAAAGGUGAUAGUUCAAAUAAUGAUGAUGAAGUUGAGAGUUCAAGUGAAGAGAAGUUUACCGUUUAUACCAAAAAAAAGAGAAACUACCAAAAAGGUUAUGUAAAAACGUAAAAGAAUGGAGUGA
RNAcentral lists this long non-coding RNA (1272 nucleotides) under Piliocolobus tephrosceles (Ugandan red Colobus). RNAcentral describes it as "lncRNA (ENSPTEG00000003001.1)". The record is from RNAcentral. Lineage: Eukaryota; Metazoa; Chordata; Mammalia; Primates; Cercopithecidae.